Molecule: ribosomal RNA, 478 nt
Filed under: uncultured bacterium
Lineage: Bacteria
Description: partial 16S ribosomal RNA
Rfam family: Bacterial small subunit ribosomal RNA
Source: RNAcentral
GAUGAACGCUGGCGGCGUGCUUAACACAUGCAAGUCGAACGAGAAGUGGAGACGGAAACCUUCGGGCGGAAGACUUUAUUUCGAGUGGCGGACGGGUGAGUAACGCGUGGGUAACCUGCCUCAUACAGGGGGAUAACAGUUGGAAACGACUGUUAAUACCGCAUAAGACCACAGCACCGCAUGGUGCGGGGGUAAAAACUCCGGUGGUAUGAGAUGGACCCGCGUUCGAUUAGCCAGUUGGCGUGGUAACGGCCCACCAAAGCGACGAUCGAUAGCCGAUCUGAGAGGAUGACCGGCCACAUUGGGACUGAGACACGGCCCAAACUCCUACGGGAGGCAGCAGUGGGGAAUAUUGCACAAUGGGGGAAACCCUGAUGCAGCGACGCCGCGUGAGUGAAGAAGUAUUUCGGUAUGUAAAGCUCUAUCAGCAGGGAAGAAAAUGACGGUACCUGAGUAAGAAGCCCCGGCUAACUACGUG